UACGUAGGGUGCAAGCGUUGUCCGGAAUUAUUGGGCGUAAAGAGCUCGUAGGCGGCUUGUUGCGUCGGCUGUGAAAUCCCGGGGCUCAACCCCGGGCCUGCAGUCGAUACGGGCAGGCUAGAGUCCGGCAGGGGAGACUGGAAUUCCUGGUGUAGCGGUGAAAUGCGCAGAUAUCAGGAGGAACACCGGUGGCGAAGGCGGGUCUCUGGGCCGGAACUGACGCUAAGGAGCGAAAGCGUGGGGAGCGAACAGG
This 253-nucleotide ribosomal RNA is filed under the name uncultured bacterium. Its description in RNAcentral is "partial 16S ribosomal RNA". It matches the Rfam family "Bacterial small subunit ribosomal RNA", at positions 524 to 776 of the family's 1533-position model. The record is from RNAcentral.